GGCGGUAUAGCUCAGUUGGCCAGAGCAUUCGGUUCAUACCCGAAGAGUCACAGGUUCAAAUCCUGUUGCCGCCACCA
This 77-nucleotide transfer RNA is filed under the name Clostridiaceae bacterium. RNAcentral's name for it is "tRNA-Met". It matches the Rfam family "tRNA". From Rfam's summary of the family: Transfer RNA (tRNA) molecules are approximately 80 nucleotides in length. Their secondary structure includes four short double-helical elements and three loops (D, anti-codon, and T loops). Further hydrogen bonds mediate the characteristic L-shaped molecular structure. tRNAs have two regions of fundamental functional importance: the anti-codon, which is responsible for specific mRNA codon recognition, and the 3' end, to which the tRNAs corresponding amino acid is attached (by aminoacyl-tRNA synthetases). tRNAs cope with the degeneracy of the genetic code in two manners: having more than one tRNA (with a specific anti-codon) for a particular amino acid; and 'wobble' base-pairing, i.e. permitting non-standard base-pairing at the 3rd anti-codon position. The record is from RNAcentral. Lineage: Bacteria; Bacillati; Bacillota; Clostridia; Eubacteriales; Clostridiaceae. RNAcentral also lists the same sequence under 3 other names.